Molecule: ribosomal RNA, 248 nt
Filed under: Glomus sp. j4-caled
Lineage: Eukaryota; Fungi; Glomeromycota; Glomeromycetes; Glomerales; Glomeraceae
Description: partial 28S ribosomal RNA
Source: RNAcentral
CCUCUUGAGUUUGGUCUCGUGGGUUUCGAAGAGUUUAAAAGCCUUCGGAUUUUCGAGAUUGGGCUCUUCUGGUGUACUUUCUCGUACGGUUAGUCAACAUCGGUUUUGAAUGUCAUAAAAUGACUGGAGGAAUGUGGCUUCGAUCUCGUAUUGAAGUGUUAUAGCCUUUGGUAGAUGUGAUGUUUGAGAUCCGAAGAUUGCAACGGAUACCCUUCUGGGCUAUUCGUCUGAUCUCUGAAACGUUGCCU